This is a long non-coding RNA of Pocillopora verrucosa, 710 nucleotides long. RefSeq lists it as uncharacterized. NCBI's taxonomy places the organism in Eukaryota, Metazoa, Cnidaria, Anthozoa, Scleractinia, Pocilloporidae. The record is from RefSeq and is a predicted model, not a curated record.
UUCACCUCUCAAGCAAAGAUAGCUCGACAAAGUCUUCGACCUAACCGAGUGUAGUGACUAGGAUUGAUCCGAAGCAUCGAGCGGUUGCUUUCACUUAAACACCUGGACAGGACUGGCAGUUAGCAUGGCGUUCUUACAACGGAACAAACGUCAAAUGACAAGCUUGGACAUGAUGCAAGAUAAUCAAGGAAGGAAUAAAAAAAACUCAACUUUGCUGAGAAGAGAAAGUGGAUUUCAAGGACAACUUUUCUUCAAACACUCGUUGACAAGCAAGGAAGAAAGACAUACGCUGAAGCAAGCGACAAGAAUACAAAGUUAACUUCAUUCUUCUUCAGGGAAGAUAACUCGAAAAUAAUUGUAGUGAAAAUUUUCACCAUUAGUUUUCAAAACUUAUCCGCAAACAGUUUCGUUACUGAAGGUAAUUCAACAGUGGUCGAAGAAAACAAAUUGACGAUGUACAUAUGAGCUGUCUUCCUAGGACUUUUAAUUUUUGGAAUAUAACUGUAUGAUAUAAACGUAGACAUUUUGUAAAGUUACCCUUUUUUGAAACGAGAAACUGUUAAACUGAGAAUCGCUGUAAGUUUUUCCUCAGUCUUCUCUGAAGCAUUUGUUAAGUUUCCCGCCAAAACAACUGCGGGCGCUUGAAAAACUUGAACGCGCUGUAAGUAUCAUCUGUUCAAAUUGCCACAAUUUUCCCGCCAAAAAACUUA